GUGACGUUUAAAUGAAAAUAUGCACGAGUCGCGACUGAUGACCGAUGGUGGGCGUGGUCACUCAGCUCAUGCCUACACACCUGUGGCACAUCAGUCUACUCAGCACUCCUGUUCCUCAUCAGCCAUUUACGUUCUUCAUAAGCCAGGCCAACCCUCCAGUCCCCGCUGGAUCGUCUUAUUUUUUCCGGUCUCCUGGAAUAUUCUCUGCACCUCCGCCUAGCUGUCUACUUCACCAGUGUACUGGAUCGUCACAAACCCUCCAGCCGGCUCGCUUACACCCACUGCUCCAUCAGCUGUACUCGCCUUUUUUUUUCCCUCGUACAAUAUCCAAAUAAAACCUCACCUUUAGUGAUGGUCAAAUGAAG
Molecule: long non-coding RNA, 365 nt
Organism: Perca flavescens (yellow perch)
Lineage: Eukaryota; Metazoa; Chordata; Actinopteri; Perciformes; Percidae
Exons: 3
Source: RefSeq, a predicted model, not a curated record